GCUCCAAUGGCGCAAUGGUAGCGCGCGAGACUUCUAUCACUGUCUGUCACAGCUAUCUCGAGGCUGUGGGUUCGAGUCCCACUUGGAGUG
Molecule: transfer RNA, 90 nt
Filed under: Lachnellula suecica
Lineage: Eukaryota; Fungi; Ascomycota; Leotiomycetes; Helotiales; Lachnaceae
Rfam family: tRNA
About the family: Transfer RNA (tRNA) molecules are approximately 80 nucleotides in length. Their secondary structure includes four short double-helical elements and three loops (D, anti-codon, and T loops). Further hydrogen bonds mediate the characteristic L-shaped molecular structure. tRNAs have two regions of fundamental functional importance: the anti-codon, which is responsible for specific mRNA codon recognition, and the 3' end, to which the tRNAs corresponding amino acid is attached (by aminoacyl-tRNA synthetases). tRNAs cope with the degeneracy of the genetic code in two manners: having more than one tRNA (with a specific anti-codon) for a particular amino acid; and 'wobble' base-pairing, i.e. permitting non-standard base-pairing at the 3rd anti-codon position.
Source: Rfam by way of RNAcentral